AUUGAACGCUGGCGGCAUGCCUUACACAUGCAAGUCGAACGGCAGCACGGGAGCAAUCCUGGUGGCGAGUGGCGAACGGGUGAGUAAUAUAUCGGAACGUGCCCAGUCGUGGGGAUAACGUAGCGAAAGCUACGCUAAUACCGCAUACGAUCUAUGGAUGAAAGCGGGGGGAUCGCAAGACCUCGCGCGAGUGGAGCGGCCGAUAUCAGAUUAGGUAGUUGGUGAGGUAAAGGCUCACCAAGCCGACGAUCUGUAGCUGGUCUGAGAGGACGACCAGCCACACUGGGACUGAGACACGGCCCAGACUCCUACGGGAGGCAGCAGUGGGGAAUUUUGGACAAUGGGC
This 346-nucleotide ribosomal RNA is filed under the name uncultured bacterium. Its description in RNAcentral is "bacterial SSU rRNA". It matches the Rfam family "Bacterial small subunit ribosomal RNA", at positions 30 to 376 of the family's 1533-position model. The record is from RNAcentral.